AUAUAAUUGUUUUUGUUGUUUCAGUAGUGCAGCGUCAUUUGUUUACCUUUGUUACUAUAGUGAUAUGACACCGGCGCAUGUCUGAAUCAGGAAGUAGAUCGCUGCGCGGUUGUCAGUAGCAGCGGGGAGCAAGCUCACUCAGUCAUCCGUUUUUCAGGCGAUCGCUUUUUCCUCUUUCUCUUUGCUAAAGCAACGUCUUUUUACAAUAUUCCCAGUAAAUUUUAUGGAAAUGAAUCAUCUGUGUCCUGGAGUUUCUUGGGAGUGUUUAAGCUGAAUGGAGUGUAGUCCAUGACAGUAAAAAGACGGCAACGCAGCUAAUGAGGAUCACGAGGAUCGCCAUCUUACGGAGCAAUUCAAUAACAAGAGAUAAGUGGCAAACUCGAAAAA
Non-coding RNA from Misgurnus anguillicaudatus (oriental weatherfish), 387 nucleotides. NCBI's taxonomy places the organism in Eukaryota, Metazoa, Chordata, Actinopteri, Cypriniformes, Cobitidae. The record is from RefSeq and is a predicted model, not a curated record.